CUAGUAAGCGCAAGUCAUCAGCUU
Molecule: non-coding RNA, 24 nt
Filed under: Drosophila melanogaster (fruit fly)
Lineage: Eukaryota; Metazoa; Arthropoda; Insecta; Diptera; Drosophilidae
Also listed under: 1 other name
Source: RNAcentral